RNAcentral lists this ribosomal RNA (907 nucleotides) under uncultured bacterium. RNAcentral describes it as "bacterial SSU rRNA". It matches the Rfam family "Bacterial small subunit ribosomal RNA", at positions 21 to 901 of the family's 1533-position model. The record is from RNAcentral.
GGCUCAGAACGAACGCUGGCGGCGUGGAUUAGGCAUGCAAGUCGUACGCGAAAGAGGGAGCAAUCCUUCGAGUAGAGUGGCGAACGGGUGAGUAACGCGUGAGAAACCUGCCUUCAUCAGGGGGAUAACACUCCCAACGGGGUGCUAAUACCGCAUGAGACCACGGGAUCGCAUGGUCCUGAGGUCAAAGGUGGCCUCUAUUUAUAAGCUACCGGAUGAAGAUGGUCUCGCGUCCCAUUAGCUAGUUGGCGGGGUAAUGGCCCACCAAGGCGACGAUGGGUAGCUGGUCUGAGAGGAUGGUCAGCCACACUGGGACUGAGAUACGGCCCAGACUCCUACGGGAGGCAGCAGUCGAGAGGCUUCGGCAAUGGGGGAAACCCUGACCGAGCGACGCCGCGUGGGGGAUGAAGGCCCUUGGGUUGUAAACCCCUUUUGUUCGGGAAGAAAUGCGAUCAGGUGAACAAUCUGGUCGUUUGACGGUACCGGACGAAUAAGCUCCGGCUAACUCCGUGCCAGCAGCCGCGGUAACACGGGGGGAGCAAGCGUUGUUCGGAAUCACUGGGCGUAAAGGGCGUGUAGGCGGUCAGGUAAGUGAGACGUGAAAUGCCUCGGCUCACCCGAGGAGCGGCGUCUCAUACUGCUUGGCUUGAGUACGGGAGAGGAUGUGGGAAUUCCUGGUGUAGCGGUGAAAUGCGUAGAUAUCAGGAGGAACACCGGUGGCGAAGGCGCACAUCUGGCCCGAUACUGACGCUGAGGCGCGAAAGCUAGGGGAGCAAACGGGAUUAGAUACCCCGGUAGUCCUAGCCGUAAACGGUGAUCACUAGGUGUUGGGGGCAUUGACCCCUCCAGUGCCGCAGCUAACGCAUUAAGUGAUCCGCCUGGGGAGUACGGCCGCAAGGUUGAAACU